This 45-nucleotide non-coding RNA is filed under the name Schistosoma margrebowiei. The record is from RNAcentral. Lineage: Eukaryota; Metazoa; Platyhelminthes; Trematoda; Strigeidida; Schistosomatidae.
GUCUAGCUGAAGAGUCCCAAAUAGGAUGAAACGCGUGUCCUGGAU